This 169-nucleotide non-coding RNA is filed under the name bovine gut metagenome. The record is from RNAcentral.
GGUUUGGUCGCCCGACAAGGGCGCCAAGAGGGAAGCCGGUGAGAGUCCGGCGCAGUCCCGCUGCUGUAAGCUCACAAACUGAAGCCCAAUCUGUUAAGCCACUGCGUACCGCCAUAGGUGCAUGGGAAGGCAAGGGCCUCGGGGAGCAAGCCAGAAGACCUGCCAAACC